Molecule: ribosomal RNA, 462 nt
Filed under: uncultured bacterium
Lineage: Bacteria
Description: partial 16S ribosomal RNA
Rfam family: Bacterial small subunit ribosomal RNA
Source: RNAcentral
GACGAACGCUGGCGGCGUGCUUAACACAUGCAAGUCGAACGGAAAGGCCCUUCGGGGUACUCGAGUGGCGAACGGGUGAGUAACACGUGGGUGAUCUGCCCUGCACUUUGGGAUAAGCCUGGGAAACUGGGUCUAAUACCGAAUAGGACCGCGCGCUUCAUGGUGUGUGGUGGAAAGCUUUUGCGGCGUGGGAUGGGCCCGCGGCCUAUCAGCUUGUUGGUGGGGUAAUGGCCUACCAAGGCGACGACGGGUAGCCGGCCUGAGAGGGUGACCGGCCACACUGGGACUGAGAUACGGCCCAGACUCCUACGGGAGGCAGCAGUGGGGAAUAUUGCACAAUGGGCGCAAGCCUGAUGCAGCGACGCCGCGUGAGGGAUGACGGCCUUCGGGUUGUAAACCUCUUUCACCAGGGACGAAGCGCAAGUGACGGUACCUGGAGAAGAAGCACCGGCCAACUACGUG